CAGGGAUGUUUGCUUUGAGGGAAAGAAGGGUUCACGUGACUCAGGAAGAUUUUGAGAUGGCUGUUGCCAAGGUGAUGAAGAAGGAAUCAGAGAAGAACAUGUCGUUACGAAAGCUUUGGAAGUAGAAUUGUCUUAUGAAGCGGCCAAGGCAUGGCGUGGCAAAUUCCAAAUAUUGCUUUUCUUUUGUUGUCGAAUUCUUCACCUCCCCCGAGCUGUGCUUAAAGAUUUGUUGAACUCAGUUUAUUUAUCUUGAAUGAUGCUUUCUAG
Molecule: unclassified non-coding RNA, 267 nt
Filed under: Hevea brasiliensis (rubber tree)
Lineage: Eukaryota; Viridiplantae; Streptophyta; Magnoliopsida; Malpighiales; Euphorbiaceae
Source: RNAcentral